AGCGAACGCUAGCGGCAGGCUUAACACAUGCAAGUCGAACGAAGUUCUUCGGAACUUAGUGGCGAACGGGUGAGUAACACGUAGGUAAUGUGCCCUUUGGUGGAGGAUAACUCAGGGAAACCUGAGCUAAUACUGCAUAUGUCCUUCGGGAUAAAAGUCUUCGGACGCCUUAGGAGCAGCCUGCGGCCCAUUAUCUAAUCCUAGUUGGUAGGGUAACGGCCUACCAAGGGUACGAUGGGUAGCUGGUCUGAGAGGAUGAUCAGCCACACUGGGACUGAGACACGGCCCAGACUCCUACGGGAGGCAGCAGUGGGGAAUAUUGCGCAAUGGGGGAAACCCUGACGCAGCCAUGCCGCGUGUGUGAUGAAGGCCCUCGGGUCGUAAAGCACUGUCGGGAGGGACGAAGAUCUGACGGUACCUCGCAAGAAAGCACCGGCUAACUCUGUG
Molecule: ribosomal RNA, 447 nt
Filed under: uncultured bacterium
Lineage: Bacteria
Description: bacterial SSU rRNA
Rfam family: Bacterial small subunit ribosomal RNA
Source: RNAcentral